GCGCAAUGGGCGAAAGCCUGACGCAGCAACGCCGCGUGGGGGAUGACGGCCUUCGGGUUGUAAACCUCUUUCGACAGGGACGAAGCUUUCGGGUGACGGUACCUGUAGAAGAAGCACCGGCUAACUACGUGCCAGCAGCCGCGGUAAUACGUAGAGUGCGAGCGUUGUCCGGAUUUAUUGGGCGUAAAGAGCUCGUAGGCGGUUUGUCACGUCGGCCGUGAAAACCUGCAGCUUAACUGUGGGCGUGCGGUCGAUACGGGCAGACUUGAGUUCGGCAGGGGAGACUGGAAUUCCUGGUGUAGCGGUGAAAUGCGCAGAUAUCAGGAGGAACACCGGUGGCGAAGGCGGGUCUCUGGGCCGAUACUGACGCUGAGGAGCGAAAGCAUGGGGAGCGAACAGGAUUAGAUACCCUGGUAGUCCAUGCCGUAAACGUUGGGCGCUAGGUGUGGGGAUGGGUUCCACCGUUUCCGUGCCGUAGCUAACGCAUUAAGCGCCCCGCCUGGGGAGUACGGCCGCAAGGCU
This 522-nucleotide ribosomal RNA is filed under the name uncultured bacterium. Its description in RNAcentral is "bacterial SSU rRNA". It matches the Rfam family "Bacterial small subunit ribosomal RNA", at positions 366 to 895 of the family's 1533-position model. The record is from RNAcentral.